Long non-coding RNA from Passer domesticus (house sparrow), 434 nucleotides. RefSeq lists it as uncharacterized. The record is from RefSeq and is a predicted model, not a curated record. Lineage: Eukaryota; Metazoa; Chordata; Aves; Passeriformes; Passeridae. The transcript has 4 exons.
GUGUAUUUCUUACCCUAGGCUACCAAUUGCAAGAGUUGCAUGUUGUGAGAUAGAGAUACAAUGCAUUCCCUCGAGGGACAGAGUACAAAACUGAUGGGUUUGCUCUGAAUGCACCAGUCCAGAGCAAUCUGCAGAGGAGAAUGAAGGCAGGGACUUCGUCUGAAGCUGCUGCCUCCAAGGGGCCUUUGGGUCUACACAGCCAGAACAGCACACUCCUGAAGACAAAAUGCCGUGUUGUCUGAAGCUUUGACUGCACCACAGGCACUCUGCAAAAAUAUUUUACAGCUACAAGGGUUUCACCCCCACUAUGUUUGACUGUGUUUGGAGCUCAAGCACAGGUUGCCCACCUUGGUAGCACCGAUGCCAUUGAACUGGUGCUAGCAGCAGUGAGGGGUGGCUGUAAAUUUUGCCUCGUGUGGACAAGGCUUACAAGG